Molecule: ribosomal RNA, 253 nt
Filed under: uncultured bacterium
Lineage: Bacteria
Description: partial 16S ribosomal RNA
Rfam family: Bacterial small subunit ribosomal RNA
Source: RNAcentral
UACGUAGGGCGCAAGCGUUGUCCGGAAUUAUUGGGCGUAAAGAGCUCGUAGGCGGCUUGUCACGUCGAUUGUGAAAGCCCGAGGCUUAAACCUCGGGUCUGCAGUCGAUACGGGCUAGCUAGAGUGUGGUAGGGGAGAUCGAAUUCCUGGUGUAGCGGUGAAAUGCGCAGAUAUCAGGAGGAACACCGGUGGCGAAGGCGGAUCUCUGGGCCAUUACUGACGCUGAGGAGCGAAAGCGUGGGGAGCGAACAGG